This 305-nucleotide ribosomal RNA is filed under the name uncultured bacterium. RNAcentral describes it as "bacterial SSU rRNA". It matches the Rfam family "Bacterial small subunit ribosomal RNA", at positions 338 to 660 of the family's 1533-position model. The record is from RNAcentral.
CCUACGGGACGCAGCAGUGGGGGAUAUUGCACAAUGGGGGGAACCCUGAUGCAGCGACGCCGCGUGGGCGAUGGAGUACUUCGGUAUGUAAAGCCCUAUCAGCAGGGAAGAAAAUGACGGUACCUGACUAAGAAGCCCCGGCUAAAUACGUGCCAGCAGCCGCGGUAAUACGUAUGGGGCAAGCGUUAUCCGGAUUUACUGGGUGUAAAGGGAGCGUAGACGGCUGUGCAAGUCUGAAGUGAAAUGCCGGGGCCCAACCCCGGAACUGCUUUGGAAACUGUACAGCUAGAGUGCAGGAGGGGUGA